UGAUGCUUCUCAGGGAAGGGCGGAGCCGGUAGGAGGCCGCGGAGUCACAGAAGGGUUUGGGUUCUGAGUCGUAACUAAGGGGGAUGCAUGGAAUGCCUUUCCUCCCUCUCGUUGCCAUGGUGAUAGAGCGAGAACGCCCUCCGGCGCUCUGGCGUGGAGCAAAUUCUCCUCGAGUCUGGCUACACGUCCAUGUCUUACCGAGGGGUUGGAGUCGCUUUGGGUGUCAUAAUCUUCUUCCUUUGUGAGGGACCUGGCUGUGCACUUUUUCUUGAUUUGUACAAAUCUGACAAUGAAACUUCUUCAGGGCAGGCACAUGUUGAAGAGAAAGAGACAGGGCUCAAUUUUGUUCAUAUUGGUGCAAAGGAAUUCACUGUACCAUGCAAGCCUGCGAAGACAGAUGUUGUGAUUGGUAUGAAUCCUAUAUACAACUGGAGCCUGGAAAAUAGAGAAAGCCCAUCCCUCCAAGCUGGUGCCUCCCUGAUUCUGCAUGAAUUUCAUGCUGAGGAGAGUGGGCGCUAUACCUGUUCCAUCUCUUUCACAAAGGAAGACCAGCUCCAUACUGUGACUUUCUCUCAUACGGUGGUGGGUUAUCACAUACGUGGAGAAUUACAGGUCCUCCUGAUUUUUCAGAGCCACUCCUGUGAUAAGUCAUUGACGCAUGAGUUUGUGAAGAUCCUACAUGCACAGCUGAGUCAACUGGUAUCUCACCUACACUGUGAGCUUCUUUCUGGGAGUACCAAUUGCUUUCCUACUGUGGAGAAACCGUUGGAUGAGUUCAAUCUCCAAGUAGAGCUAAAAGUAACUCCAUUUGGGAAAGGCUGGGAUAAAUCCUGCUAUCCCCAGGUUGAUUUGAUGGCAUUAGAAUGUUACCGCUCAGCUGUUCAGAAUAAUCUACAGCAGGCUAAGGAAGCUAUGACUGAAUUUAUGGAUAAGAAUAAACAUUUUCCCCUGAGAACAUCAAAUGGUUCCCAUGUUUCUUUUGUCAACACUUUUUUCAAUUUCUUGGAAGAUGGAAAGUGCCAGGAUGGUUAUGGACAGACACAGGAGCUACAGGCACACUGUCCCGACUGCUGUACUUUGUGCCCUCCUGGAACAUACAGUGUGGCCACCACUGACAGCUGUGUUCUCUGUCCAAUUGGGAGCUAUAGCUUGCACUAUGGGACAACCCUUUGCAUUUCAUGCCCCAACAGUUGGCUUACCUCACACCCUGGCGCCAGAACAUCUGCAGACUGCAUGAAUAUGAAAGUCCCUCCUUCACAUCGAUUUUCCGUACUGAUGGUAGCCUUUUCCGUGCCUCCACUUGGUUGCCUCUGUCUCAUUGUGAUCAUGAGAUGAAGUCUGGUGCUGAGUUUUCUAAUGACUUGGGUCAUUCAUAUCUGGCCUUUGGACCAUCUCAUCAGGAAUCUGGCAAGUGCAUGGAUUUCUAAAUGGACCCAAAUGGUUCCAUAUUCAACUAGAACCUUUAUCCAAGUGUGGAACUGGACCUCAAUGCAACAGACAGCACUGUUGCCUCAAAUUUUUCCCCACAACAUCCCUGUGAGGUAGACUGGGUUGAAGGAGAAUGACUGGCCCAGACACCCAGCAAGCAUCCUUUGUUGAAGAUGGAUUUGAACCUGAUUCUCCCCGGUCUUAAUCUAACAUCUUCAACACAUAUCAGCAUACAAUAUGAUAUGUGGAUUUUAAUGAAAAAGAAAUAUGCUUCAAAUUGAUCAAAACCAAAUAAAUGAUAACAGAAUGUGAUGUAAUGCAACAAUCAUGAUAAUGCCCAACAUUUAAUCACCACAAUCUGACAGAAUAAUGUGGAGCUGUUAUUUCUAGGAGAAAUUAUUAAAUAAAA
This is a non-coding RNA of Python bivittatus (Burmese python), 1837 nucleotides long. Lineage: Eukaryota; Metazoa; Chordata; Lepidosauria; Squamata; Pythonidae. The record is from RefSeq and is a predicted model, not a curated record.